AUACGGGGGGUGCAAGCGUUAUUCGGAAUUAUUGGGCGUAAAGGGCGCGUAGGCGGUCUUGUCGGUCAGAUGUGAAAGCCCGGGGCUCAACCCUGGAAGUGCGUUUGAAACAGCAAGACUUGAGUACGGGAGAGGAGAGCGGAAUUCCUGGUGUAGAGGUGAAAUUCGUAGAUAUCAGGAGGAACACCGAUGGCGAAGGCAGCUCUCUGGACCGAUACUGACGCUGAGGCGCGAAGGCGUGGGUAGCGAACAGGAUUAGAAACCCUAGUAGUCC
RNAcentral lists this ribosomal RNA (274 nucleotides) under uncultured bacterium. RNAcentral describes it as "partial 16S ribosomal RNA". It matches the Rfam family "Bacterial small subunit ribosomal RNA", at positions 523 to 796 of the family's 1533-position model. The record is from RNAcentral.